CAACCGAAACGACGCCCUUAGUUACUGGAAAGUUAAUACAGGCGAAAGACGUAUUUUAGCGCUCUCAAAAAUUGCUUAACUGAAUCUCAAUUUCAACAAUUUCGUUGAUACGCAAGGUCGCCGUGAACAACAACCAUCUUCUGGAAUACCAACACAUGCUGCAGCCACUGGACAAAUUAUCGUUUCGGAGAAUAAGGAGUGACGUCCGAAUCACUCUAUUGCGCUUCCAUGGACGUCUCAGGCAACACGUUAUAACAUUUCAAAUUACAUGUAUUAUGGGUUGUCAUUACGAUUGCAAACAAAGGAUUAUUUUUUAAUAGUAACCGAUUAUGCCGGGGGUCCAGGCCAAAACGAAUUAUAGACAUUUUUAGGGACAAAAUACUGCUAUUCUCAGAGCAUAAAAAGUUAUAAUGUGGUCUUAAAAGAAGAGGCAUUUUAAAGUUUUUCACAUUUAAAAUACUGUACAAUGUAAAAACAUAUUAUAUUGAUAUUUCUUUGCAUGUUCAACUCUAUCCAUUACCCGAUAAUCCAGUAUUAUUACGAUUUCUUUUUUUUUAAACCAAAAUACGGCCAAUAUUGACGAUGAAUGUCGUCCGCCAUUUAACGCAAGUGCAUAUACAAAUUGAAUUGUGGGAUUGGGGAAUUCCCAUUGAACAUGCGUGAAUUAUAAUAUGUUACAUGCACCACCUUUUAGAAAAUUUUGCGAAAGUGAAAGUGAAUUUCUGAGAAUAAAAACGCGUCUUUCUUUAAAUUUUACCGUGUACACUUCAUUCCGGAUCGUGAUAUAACUUGUCAGGUCAUUCAUGCAGGUUUGGAAAUCUCAAAACACGUUAUUUACCUACUUAAAAAAUUAUGUGUUAUGACCAUUUGUAUAACAAAAUGCAUUAUUCAAUUGAAGUAUUUUUAAACUCGUAUAAUUAAAUGUGUAAUCCGAAAUCAUUUUUAGAUUUAAUUAUUCACGGAAUAUCAAAAAAUUCUAGCAACAAAGACACAUUUCUCGUGUAUUUUAUGUACAGAUGAAAAUCAUGCCAAAAUUAGACUUCAUUUACAACAUCACGUCAUUCUUCCUCGGGGAAAGCGUGGACUAAUAUUUAAUUGCUGUAUAACAACUUUGUAGCGCAGAGGUCGCUAAUGCCUUUUAUUUUUGUAGAAAAUCGUAGAGCAUUUUUUAUAUGCGGAAACUUUUUCUCUAACUAAAAAACCUAAUAAUUACGCUUUAUCUGCAGAGCUACAUUCGUUGAAAUAAGGUAAGUGAUAAUCGGUGAAACGUACAGUUAUUUGAUACUGUUUCACGUUGGGUCGGCGUGUAUUCGGCCGCCUGAGCGCUGAUUGGUUGAUGCGCUUACCAAGAAGAAUUUAAUUGACAGCUGGAAAAAAUCAAUAUUGGCCACUCGCUGAGAAAUUCAUUGAAAACAGUAGCUCUUAGGCGGAGUUAACGGACUGAAUGAACCGGCGUCGCUCUGCGGUUAUUCCUCGUCGGUUUGCAAGAUUAAAACUUCCGAUUGCAAUUUUGAAGAUUCGGGAAAAACAACCGAUUUUCUGGAGAUUUUAACCGAUGAAUUCGAUCGGCAAUCGGUUAAUAAUGACAACCCUUAAAUAAUAAAUCAACUUCAACUUUAAAUAAAUAAAUUAAAUGUAUAUGGAUCCAUACAAAUCGUGUGCAAAAUAUAUAAUACACAGAGCUGUGCGACUAAUUUGAUACUUAUUGCUAUAAUGUUAUGGAAAAAUAAACAUAAUUUCAUCGACAUAAAGGUCAACUUGAGCAGUCCAGCGGACAACAGUAAGAAGCCUAUCAAAGCCGUCAGUAUUUUGUAAAUACACUUCAACUCAAUUGGCGUUAAUUGUACGCAAGUUGUUUAUCCAAUAUUUUUAUAAAGUUUUGUUUGUGCUUGUGCUCAGGAUAUUAGAUUAAACUAAAACAGUAAUUCAG
This is a long non-coding RNA of Dreissena polymorpha, 1930 nucleotides long. RefSeq lists it as uncharacterized. Lineage: Eukaryota; Metazoa; Mollusca; Bivalvia; Myida; Dreissenidae. The record is from RefSeq and is a predicted model, not a curated record. The transcript is spliced from 2 exons.